UGGCUUCCUUUUUGCUUCAUUAUGGAGUC
RNAcentral lists this non-coding RNA (29 nucleotides) under Rattus norvegicus (Norway rat). The record is from RNAcentral. Lineage: Eukaryota; Metazoa; Chordata; Mammalia; Rodentia; Muridae.